Ictalurus punctatus (channel catfish) is the source of this 2993-nucleotide long non-coding RNA. Lineage: Eukaryota; Metazoa; Chordata; Actinopteri; Siluriformes; Ictaluridae. The record is from Ensembl.
CCGGAUUAUCUGGAAGAAACCCCUGAAGCACGGGGAGAACAUGCAAACUGUGCACACAGGGCAGAGGUGGGAUUCGAACUCCCAACCCCGGAGGUGUAAGGCAAACGUGCUAAUCACUAAGCCACCACGCCCCAGUUAGUUUACUCUCAUUCUUAAUUUGUAUGUUAAGAUAAAAAUUUCAUGACAGCCGGUAUUAACUAAUUGGAGUUGAGACAGGUUGAGAGUGAUUCGUUCCCUCUCACAAUUUGGUCAAUUUGGAAUGCCCGUUCCCUCCCAUCAGCCACUUCUGCACUGUCAUACAACACCUACCAAGAAGGGUGGGUGAAGGCUAACAGGUGCUUCCUCUGAGACAAGUCAAGCUAGCCAACCACAUCUUUCGGAUCUGCUGCUUAACAAACUCAUGUAUAAGAGCUCACAAAUGCCAACCAUUGGCAGGACAGAGAGUAGGACAUCCUUCUCUGGACAAUUUUGUUCUCUUCGUUCCCGGGCCACGGAUGAACGUGACAUCGUCUGGAUUCGCUCUCAUGAUCUUCUGACAAUAGCAUGAACGCUUUUCUGUGACAGUUUUAUCUAACGUAAUAACCCUACCAGGUUCAUGCCAAACUUUUUUUUGAUAGGUUGGCUGGAGAACUAAAUAUACAUUUUGAGUUUUAUUCUCUACAUGGCGAGCUAGAGUUAGUUAGGAGGCUAACAGCCGAUGAAUGGAGCACUCUAUGAAAUAGUAUGUCACUGUUAGGGCUGGGCGAUAUGACAAUAUAAUAUCUAGUGUAUAUCUAAUAUACUCUUUUUCUGAGAUUUUUUUUUUCUGUGACAUCUUUUUCUAACAUUUUUAGAAGCAGCUGAUGUAAUGUUCACAUUUUACUCUGAACCUUUAAAAUUGUCGUGAUGAGAUAUUUUUGUCAUUUUGCCCACCCAUAGUCACUACAACACUGACGUUUAUAUGUAGACAUACUACUUAGUGUAUGUUGUGUGGUUUGUUUGGGAAACAGCAGAAUUAUCUACUUCAGUUGAAGGGGAAUUUGAAUUAGUCAGUUAUGACACGUUGUUGAAAUCAACGCUACAUUUACCCAUCUGUUUAUGCAUUGUACCUUAUCAUGCAUCUCAUAGUGGUUAAACUUCUGCUUAAGCUUCUUUCUCAAUCCUGACUUAAAGACGUUUAUCCCAUUUCAACUCUCAAAAUCCGUCCAGAUCUACAUUCCACACCCUUCUUAACUACAAACCUCUCCUGUGAGUUUCACUGCAAUUAUGAAUAAUUCAGAGUAAUGACUGUAUCAUAUGCUUUAAGAUGAAUAAACAGAUAACGAGCGAAUGCUUUAAGGACUUAAAAAGCCCAUCUUUCCUCUUGCUGUCACUUUUCUCAUGCUGAAAUUCGAUCAGCGGGUCACAGAAAGGUCAGGUUGAGGCUCGAUUUAGCCAGCCAUGUGAAAAUCAUUUGUCUCGUUUUAGUCACAGGACAAGAAAGACAGCUCCUGUAAGCAGACCAAAAAAAGUGGAAUAGCAAGAUCGAGUCACAUCAGGAGUGUACAGAGAAUCCGGAAAUUACUUGCUGCAUUUCUAUAAGGAUCAGAAAGCAGAAGUAGUGAAGACCUUAUUAUUGCAUCAUUAAACACAAGAGCCAAUCAGAUUCCACUAUGCAAAUUUAUCAUGUAAUUACACUAGUUUACAAGAAGAAGAGGUUAUGGGGCAUUUCCAAUUUGCAUAUUCGUAGCAGAUCUUGAUCAGAGUAGAGGCAGGUUAUUAUUCAAAUAAUUAUAAAGUUACUAUCGUUUCUAUAGUAAAAAAAAAUUACACGGGCCCUUGUAUGGUGGACACACCACAUAAUAUAAAAACAUGUGAUUUUGCAAAGAAAUACAUUUCUUUUUCCGCCACAGGAAACAGACUUACUGAGAAGCACUUUCUGGUUUCACUGUAAAAUGACAAGUUGAAUGACAAGGGAAAAGGGGGGGGAAAAAACGGCUGGUGAGGGAACCAAUGUGUAUAGGUAUAACAGGAACUUGAUUGGGAUUUUCCAGGACAUCUUUCGAAUUUCUCCUUCACUCUGUGUACGCAAAGUUUACAUGUUCUCCCUGUGCCUUGGGGGUUUCCUCUACGUUCUCCGGUUUCCUCCCCCAGUCCAAAGACAUGCAUUGUAGGCUGACUGGCAUUUCCAAUAGUGAAUGAAUAUGUGUGCGAUAGGGUGUGCGACCCUGUGUAUGAGCAGUACAGAAAAUGCUGGAUGGAAGUCCUUAUGUGAGAUGCUAAACGACACAGUCUGACCAAGACGUUUAUAUGUUUUGAACAGUUACAGUAGUAUCAUGAUUUGUCGUGAUUCUAGCUACGACACACCCAUAACAUAUUCCCAAACCCUCAAUAUGUACUUCAAUUGAGGUAUUAUUACUCAUAAACAAAACUCUUUACCACCAUUGUUUUUCAAUAAAAAUCUAGUCUAGUAAAGCUUGCAUUGUCAUGCAACGAGUGCAAUGAGCACUCAAUGGGCUUUCAGUGAAUGAGCAGUUGUUAUUGAGUUACUGCAGCAGUCCUCAGACAGAUAGGUGGAGAUUGAAUUUUAUUACAGUGAGUUUAGUGUCUGUCUCUCUGCCACAGAGUCUUUUAUAAAAUACUGCACACGAUGCAAGACGGCUCGCUCCAGACACUGUCAGUGAGUUCGCUCCAGCCAUCACCCGUGGAUUCCAGGAUCGAGUUCAGGGUUCGAGUGACUUUAGUGUCAUGUAAUUAUUUAAUUAUUUGUUUUUGCAUUGUGUAGCUAGAGCUGAGGAGCUCCAGCGUCACUGUCAGCCAUAUGAGACUAUACAGGAGAUAACGGACAACACAAGCUCCUUUCUUUGCACGAUGGUAUCUUGGUAUCAAUCCACUCUGCCCUUUAACGAGACUGAAAUAUGAAAGUGACUUUUGUUCCUAUAUUGGAGAAAAAAAAAAAAAAAGCCAUUGCAUGUGCACCUCAUGCCUCUGUGUGAAACAUUUUUUCCCUCAAUUCUUGUUCAGGAGGUAAUUAA